AACUUUCUAACAUCAAUACUCAAUUGAUAAAACAAAACAAUAACGGAUACGGUGUAAAAUCCGAAAUUAAAUCAAAAAUAAAACCGGAAAAAAAAGCAACACAACAACAAGUGGUCGUGAGGAAAAAAUAGUGGCCGUCAAUAUGCGGUGAAACAGGAAUAUACAUCCUAAUGGAAAUUGAAACAAAAACGAAAACCCAGUAGCAACACAACAACACAAUAGAUAUAUAUGAAAAAAAACUCAAAAACCUCACCGAAACAACAACUUCU
RNAcentral lists this long non-coding RNA (269 nucleotides) under Lathyrus oleraceus (garden pea). RNAcentral describes it as "Pisum sativum (pea) long non-coding RNA (PSAT_LNC015706)". The record is from RNAcentral. Lineage: Eukaryota; Viridiplantae; Streptophyta; Magnoliopsida; Fabales; Fabaceae.